Long non-coding RNA from Centruroides sculpturatus (bark scorpion), 948 nucleotides. RefSeq lists it as uncharacterized. Lineage: Eukaryota; Metazoa; Arthropoda; Arachnida; Scorpiones; Buthidae. The record is from RefSeq and is a predicted model, not a curated record. The transcript has 3 exons.
UUUUCGAAUGGUUUUUCGUUUCUACUCCAGCGAAACGGUACAGUUUUCCUCCCUCGGGCCUCUAUAGUUUUCCCACACACGCUAACAGGAAUUCCUCAAGGCCGGGUCCGCGCAGGAAUUCCUCAAGGCCGGGUCCUUCAAAGGAUUUCCUUAACGCGUGUGGGAUCCUAAAAGAAGGACCGACAAUAUUGAAAAUAGAAGUAAGAAUGCAAUUAGAACAACUAAAGAAGGUAAAUCUACCGGACCAGACGAAGUUCUCGCUGAAAUUUUGAAAUUACUGGAUGAAGAUAUUUUAGUGGAUUUUUACAACAUUAUUUACGAAAGUGGUACGAACGUCACGCGGUCACUACGGAACUUUUUCAAAAAACUAUCGUAGAAGCGACACGACGAGGCUAUUAGUUUACCAAAUUAUUUAUUUGUAGUAAAUUUCGAAUGCGAUUUUAUUCCCGGUAAACUGUAUUCGAGUAAAAUAUCGUUGAAAAUUUGAAGACAAAAAUAUUAACAAAAAUGGAAGAUUCUUUCAACGGAAAUUACAGACGGCGCCACUGGAUUUCUUACGAUUUGAAAAUUCUUUCGUUACAAUGGAACGGUUGAAAGAUGUUUGACUCGACGACGACAAGAAAAACGGAAUACAUUUUCUGUCAUUAAUUCAUUUUGUGAAAGGCCAAUUGUUCCGAGGAGAAAUCGAAGAAAAGCUCUCGGCCAUUUAAAGUGUCGAUUCGAAGAAGAAAAUCUCUUUGACGAUUACAUUAGAAAGGAAACAGAAGGAAGAUUUCCUCGGAAGCUGAAGACGAUUUUUCGCGUAAACAUUUCGUGAAAUGUCGAAUGGCCCUAGAGUUUGGUAAAAACAUUUUUCAAAUCACAAUUUUCGAGAAAAGGUUAGAAACGAUUGUUUUUAUGAUUUCAAAUUCUUCGAUUAAAGGUGUAAACACGAAAAUGAAAGGAAAG